CCUACGGGAGGCAGCAGUGGGGAAUAUUGGACAAUGGGCGAAAGCCUGAUCCAGCAAUGCCGCGUGAGUGAUGAAGGCCUUCGGGUCGUAAAGCUCUUUUACCAGGGAUGAUAAUGACAGUACCUGGAGAAUAAGCUCCGGCUAACUCCGUGCCAGCAGCCGCGGUAAUACGGAGGGAGCUAGCGUUGUUCGGAAUUACUGGGCGUAAAGAGUACGUAGGCGGUUAUUCAAGUCAGAGGUGAAAGCCCGGGGCUCAACCCCGGAACUGCCUUUGAAACUAGAUAACUAGAGUCUUGGAGAGGUUAGUGGAAUUCCGAGUGUAGAGGUGAAAUUCGUAGAUAUUCGGAAGAACACCAGUGGCGAAGGCGACUAACUGGACAAGUACUGACGCUGAGGUACGAAAGCGUGGGGAGCAAACAGGAUUAGAUACCCUGGUAGUCCACGCCGUAAACGAUGAUAACUAGUUGUUCGGUCACUUGGUGACUGAGUGACGCAGCUAACGCAUUAAGUUAUCCGCCUGGGGAGUACGGUCGCAAGAUUAAAACCNGAAAGGAAUUGACGGCUGAAGAGUGCGACGACGACGACGAGGGAGGAGG
This 596-nucleotide ribosomal RNA is filed under the name uncultured bacterium. Its description in RNAcentral is "bacterial SSU rRNA". It matches the Rfam family "Bacterial small subunit ribosomal RNA", at positions 338 to 957 of the family's 1533-position model. The record is from RNAcentral.